This 731-nucleotide ribosomal RNA is filed under the name uncultured Streptomyces sp. RNAcentral describes it as "bacterial SSU rRNA". It matches the Rfam family "Bacterial small subunit ribosomal RNA", at positions 66 to 779 of the family's 1533-position model. The record is from RNAcentral. Lineage: Bacteria; Bacillati; Actinomycetota; Actinomycetes; Kitasatosporales; Streptomycetaceae.
GCGGACAGAUGGGAGCUUGCUCCCUGAUGUUAGCGGCGGACGGGUGAGUAACACGUGGGUAACCUGCCUGUAAGACUGGGAUAACUCCGGGAAACCGGGGCUAAUACCGGAUGCUUGUUUGAACCGCAUGGUUCAAACAUAAAAGGUGGCUUCGGCUACCACUUACAGAUGGACCCGCGGCGCAUUAGCUAGUUGGUGAGGUAAUGGCUCACCAAGGCAACGAUGCGUAGCCGACCUGAGAGGGUGAUCGGCCACACUGGGACUGAGACACGGCCCAGACUCCUACGGGAGGCAGCAGUAGGGAAUCUUCCGCAAUGGACGAAAGUCUGACGGAGCAACGCCGCGUGAGUGAUGAAGGUUUUCGGAUCGUAAAGCUCUGUUGUUAGGGAAGAACAAGUACCGUUCGAAUAGGGCGGUACCUUGACGGUACCUAACCAGAAAGCCACGGCUAACUACGUGCCAGCAGCCGCGGUAAUACGUAGGUGGCAAGCGUUGUCCGGAAUUAUUGGGCGUAAAGGGCUCGCAGGCGGUUUCUUAAGUCUGAUGUGAAAGCCCCCGGCUCAACCGGGGAGGGUCAUUGGAAACUGGGGAACUUGAGUGCAGAAGAGGAGAGUGGAAUUCCACGUGUAGCGGUGAAAUGCGUAGAGAUGUGGAGGAACACCAGUGGCGAAGGCGACUCUCUGGUCUGUAACUGACGCUGAGGAGCGAAAGCGUGGGGAGCGAACAGGAUU